AAAUGAAUUGACGGGGGCCCGCACAAGCGGUGGAGCAUGUGGUUUAAUUCGAUGAUACGCGAGGAACCUUACCAGGGCUUAAAUGCGGUACGACGGGCCUGGAAACAGGCCUUUCCUCGGACGUACCGCAAGGUGCUGCAUGGUUGUCGUCAGCUCGUGCCGUGAGGUGUCAGGUUAAGUCCUAUAACGAGCGCAACCCCUGCCGUUAGUUGCCAGCAUGUAAAGAUGGGGACUCUAACGGGACUGCCGGUGCAAACCGCGAGGAAGGUGGGGACGACGUCAAAUCAUCACGGCCCUUACGCCCUGGGCCACACACGUGCUACAAUGGCCGGUACAGAGGGCUGCCACCCCGCAAGGGGGCGCGAAUCCUCAAAGCCGGUCACAGUUCGGAUCGGGGCCUGCAACUCGGCCCCGUGAAGCUGGAAUCGCUAGUAAUCGGAUAUCAGCCAUGAUCCGGUGAAUACGUUCCCGGGCCUUGUACACACCGCCCGU
Molecule: ribosomal RNA, 492 nt
Filed under: uncultured bacterium
Lineage: Bacteria
Description: bacterial SSU rRNA
Rfam family: Bacterial small subunit ribosomal RNA
Source: RNAcentral